AGUGAACGCUGGCGGUAGGCCUAACACAUGCAAGUCGAACGGCAGCACAGUAAGAGCUUGCUCUUACGGGUGGCGAGUGGCGGACGGGUGAGGAAUACAUCGGAAUCUACUUUUUCGUGGGGGAUAACGUGGGGAACUUAACCCAAUUCCCCAUACGGCCUUCGGGUUGAACCAGGGGACUCUUCGGCCUUUGCCCGUUUAAGUGGCCGAUGUCGGAUUAGCUAGUUGGCGGGGUAAAGGCCCACCAAGGCGACGAUCCGUAGCUGGUCUGAGAGGAUGAUCAGCCACACUGGAACUGAGACACGGUCCAGACUCCUACGGGAGGCAGCAGUGGGGAAUAUUGGACAAUGGGCGCAAGCCUGAUCCAGCCAUACCGCGUGGGUGAAGAAGGCCUUCGGGUUGUAAAGCCCUUUUGUUGGGAAAGAAAAGCAGCAGGUUAAUACCCCGCUGUUCUGACGGUACCCAAAGAAUAAGCACCGGCUAACUUCGUG
Molecule: ribosomal RNA, 491 nt
Filed under: uncultured bacterium
Lineage: Bacteria
Description: partial 16S ribosomal RNA
Rfam family: Bacterial small subunit ribosomal RNA
Source: RNAcentral